CGGGGUCGGGCCCGGCCGGGGCGGGGAGCGGUGUAAACACUCCGGAGCGUGCACCCGCGUGCGGGGCGCGCACGUGCGUCCGCCACCCCCUGCGGGCGUGGGCCGCCCCGGGCCUCGCGCAGCCCCACGCAGGCUUCCCCGGCGCGGCUGGGCCGGCGCGGGACGGCGCUCGCUCCUGGCUCCAGCUGCAGUUUCUCGGCUCGACGUCACGUUUUAAACGCUGCGAGCCCCGGAGGCUGCUUGACAAAAAGCCAGGCGGGCAGGUUCGGAGGAAUAAAACGUCUCUCCACGGACAGAAACGUAUCCGCGUGGACGUUGUGUGUGCUCAGGAGAUAAAGAUGGAAACGCUGCCAAGCUGCCUCCCAUUUUAAAAUAUAUAUAUAUAUAUGCCUUAAAAACGGGGCGAUGCCGGGCUGCUCCGCGCCGCCUUUGCGCUGUGGGUUGACGUGCGGGAGUGGGUGAUAGCAUACAUGGGAAAACAGAACUGUGCAGCGUUGUGGACGCUUAGGCUAGACCGUCAGCCGCCGAGCCCUGCCCGCAACCUGGAGUCCCAGCGCUCUCUCUCUGUGAUCACUUCUUUCCGUUCUCGACCACAGUUUCACUGCUCGGCGAAAAGAAUACACUUGUUCCAGAGGUGGCCCGUCACCUCUCCCGCCGCCCAGUAGCCAGGUUAUUAACAUUGAACUGGGCUUCGCAUCCGGUCAAACUUCGGCUGGUUUCAGAGCAGAUUCCAGCUGCCUUUUGAGCUUAGCUAUAUGCACAGUCAAAGGAAAUGUGGAGAAAGGAAGAAAGCUGGCGUGAUAAGCUGUUCUUCAGUGAAAAUAUGAAAACUAUGCCCACCAUCCUAUCAUAACCCAUGCUGCUGCAGUUUCAAUUUCUGUUUCUCCCAGGGACAACUGCCAAUAAACAUGAAAAAUGGAUGGCAUUGUUGUGACUUCCCUCCAACCUCAGCUGACACGUUCAUCUUCCCACCAGGCACUGUCCCUCACACCGAUCAAAGGCUGAUCACAGUGGGUACUCAACAAGUAUUUGUUAGACCAUCAACAUCAUCCGGCAGGAAUAAUGGAGAAAGACAGAGGGAGUUUUCUUUUUUUGGUUUUUUGAGACAGGGUUUCUCUGUGUAG
Molecule: long non-coding RNA, 1124 nt
Organism: Psammomys obesus (fat sand rat)
Lineage: Eukaryota; Metazoa; Chordata; Mammalia; Rodentia; Muridae
Exons: 3
Source: RefSeq, a predicted model, not a curated record